This 125-nucleotide small RNA is filed under the name Marmota monax (woodchuck). The record is from RNAcentral. Lineage: Eukaryota; Metazoa; Chordata; Mammalia; Rodentia; Sciuridae.
GCUGGGCAUGGUGGUGUACGCCUGUAAUCCUAGCAGCUCGGGAGGCUGAAGCAGGAGGAUCGUCAGUUCAAAGCCAACCUCAGCAACAGUGAGGCGCUAAGCAAUUCAGUGAGACCCUGUCUCUA